AUUGAACGCUGGCGGCAGGCUUAACACAUGCAAGUCGAGCGGAGAUGAGGUGCUUGCACCUUAUCUUAGCGGCGGACGGGUGAGUAAUGCUUAGGAAUCUGCCUAUUAGUGGGGGACAACAUUCCGAAAGGAAUGCUAAUACCGCAUACGUCCUACGGGAGAAAGCAGGGGAUCUUCGGACCUUGCGCUAAUAGAUGAGCCUAAGUCUGAUUAGCUAGUUGGUGGGGUAAAGGCCUACCAAGGCGACGAUCUGUAGCGGGUCUGAGAGGAUGAUCCGCCACACGGGUACUUGAACACGGCCCAGACGCCUACGGGAGGCAGCAGUGGGGAAUAUUGGACAAUGGGGGAAACCCUGAUCCAGCCAUGCCGCGUGUGUGAAGAAGGCCUUUUGGUUGUAAAGCACUUUAAGCGAGGAGGAGGCUACUGAGACUAAUACUCUUGGAUAGUGGACGUUACUCGCAGAAUAAGCACCGGCUAACUCUGUGCCAGCAGCCGCCGUAA
Molecule: ribosomal RNA, 501 nt
Filed under: uncultured bacterium
Lineage: Bacteria
Description: partial 16S ribosomal RNA
Rfam family: Bacterial small subunit ribosomal RNA
Source: RNAcentral